Molecule: ribosomal RNA, 383 nt
Filed under: Lumbriculus variegatus
Lineage: Eukaryota; Metazoa; Annelida; Clitellata; Lumbriculida; Lumbriculidae
Description: partial 12S ribosomal RNA
Source: RNAcentral
UUAUAGCCUAUAAAACCUUAUUGGACAAUACAAACUACAGUUUAAAAUCUAAAGAAAUUGGCGGUGUUCUAUCUCACUAGGGGAACCUGUCUCAUAACCCGAUAAUCCACGUAUACCCUUCCUAUCUUUGAAUAACUCAGUCUGUGUACUGCCGUCGAAAGUAAACCCUUUAUAGGUAAGUCAGCAAAAAUGUUAUCAACAUCUACGUCAGGUCAAAGUACAACCUAUAGAUAGGUGAUGAUGGGUGAUAACUUAUAAUAUAAAAACGAAUUACUAGAUUAAAUCUACUAUUAGGAGUACUUAGUUGUAAUUUAAAACAUAAAUUUUAAAUGACUAAAGACCUAGAACAAGUACAUAUCGCCCGUCACUCCUUUCGAAAGAAA